GGCUCUAGUCUGGCAUUGUA
Molecule: microRNA, 20 nt
Filed under: Pteropus alecto (black flying fox)
Lineage: Eukaryota; Metazoa; Chordata; Mammalia; Chiroptera; Pteropodidae
Description: pal-miR-10018-5p
Source: miRBase by way of RNAcentral